UGGACGUUUAACUCAGCGGUAGAGUGCUACCUUCACACGGUAGAAGUCACUGGUUCAAACCCAGUAACGUCCAA
This 74-nucleotide transfer RNA is filed under the name Spirochaetes bacterium ADurb.Bin269. RNAcentral's name for it is "tRNA-Val". It matches the Rfam family "tRNA". From Rfam's summary of the family: Transfer RNA (tRNA) molecules are approximately 80 nucleotides in length. Their secondary structure includes four short double-helical elements and three loops (D, anti-codon, and T loops). Further hydrogen bonds mediate the characteristic L-shaped molecular structure. tRNAs have two regions of fundamental functional importance: the anti-codon, which is responsible for specific mRNA codon recognition, and the 3' end, to which the tRNAs corresponding amino acid is attached (by aminoacyl-tRNA synthetases). tRNAs cope with the degeneracy of the genetic code in two manners: having more than one tRNA (with a specific anti-codon) for a particular amino acid; and 'wobble' base-pairing, i.e. permitting non-standard base-pairing at the 3rd anti-codon position. The record is from RNAcentral. Lineage: Bacteria; Pseudomonadati; Spirochaetota.